AAAGAUCAGGAAUCGAGACAAGAACAGGCUUCCCCGCCCGAGACUUAACCUCAGAGGAAUAAAGAGCGAGAAGCACAGCCUCAAAGCCGGCGAGGGAAGGGAGAGAAGGGGAAUCGGAAGAAGUAGAAUGGACGCGAGAAAGGUACAAGGAGGAAAGAAGAGGAAGGAAAGAAAGAACAACAAGGCGGAGAUGGGGAUCGGAAGAGAGAAAAGUAUCGUAAAGCCAAUGGCAAAGAGGGUCAGAACCAGAUCCAGAGAGGGAGGAGGAGAGGGCAGAGGAAAUGGCGGAGUAAGCAUCAUGAGAUGACAAAAGAGAGAGAG
This 321-nucleotide unclassified non-coding RNA is filed under the name Hevea brasiliensis (rubber tree). The record is from RNAcentral. Lineage: Eukaryota; Viridiplantae; Streptophyta; Magnoliopsida; Malpighiales; Euphorbiaceae.